RNAcentral lists this long non-coding RNA (1138 nucleotides) under Cavia porcellus (domestic guinea pig). RNAcentral's name for it is "lncRNA (ENSCPOG00000040132.1)". Lineage: Eukaryota; Metazoa; Chordata; Mammalia; Rodentia; Caviidae. The record is from RNAcentral.
UGACAGCAUCCGUUAAUUCCCCCACACAGACGUCAUGGAGAGCUGCAGCCCCGUGACUGGUCCCUCAACCUGUGUCUUGCCCUGUUCUCUUGCAGCUUGCUACUCAGGAGAAAAAAGCCCACGAGAACUGGCUCAAAGCCCGCAAUGCAGAGCUCCUGAUUGCAGAGGAGAAGCGGCAGGCCGCCAACCUGCGGCAGAGGUUAGCAGCGCGUGGCGCGAUGUGUGGCGCCCAUGUUUCAGCCCACUCAGGGUGGCUGUGGUCAUCCCCAGCCCUACUCUGUCUGUGUGCAGGCUGGUGGAGAUUACCCAGAAGAUGGAUAUGCUUCAAGAGGAGCCUGGGAUCAUUAAGCGGAUGCCGGACUGGCCUGGAGUGCAGAACGGCCCCCACAGAGGUGGGCGCUCUGUCCUUCUGAGUGCGACUCGGGGAUCUUAGCCACUGCGAGAACUGGUAACCAGCACGUGUGUUGUCUCCGCAGGUCCCCUGAGCCAGAACAGCUCCUUUGGCCCGUCCCCUGUGAGUGGCGGUGAGUGCUCCCCGCCCCCAGGGGCAGAGCCCCCUGGAUGGCUGUCCACUGCGAGCCUGAACUUCGCAGACAUUCCCAGGGCCGACUUCGGUGAGCCUCUCCGGGGCCUCGCGGCCCGGACUCAGGGACACCGUGCUGCCUUGCCCCGGGCAUGGUUCCCUGAGCUCUGGUACAAAGCCCGGGCACUCCCGGCUCAGGUUUCCACUUAGCCCUGGGCACUGUGCAGGUCCACCUCGAUUGCAGUGCAGGAGCAGGGUCCUGGGAGCCGUCGCCCACCCGGUCACUCCCAGGGCCGCGGUGUCGCCCACUCCCUCUCUGCAGUGUUCAAUGAGUGGGCGCACUUUCUUCACCACUCACCUCCGGGCCACCAGGGGCCGCUCCCGAGCUAGGCAGGCCCGCGUGUUGCUGGUUCCGUGUGCUGCUACCAAAGCGCAUGGCUGCCGAGUGCGGGCUCAGUCUUCCGCGUCCCUGUUUUCCUCCUCCACAGCCUGAGACCUAAAGCAGCCUCCGCCUCUGGCUGGGGCUGCCGCAGCGCAGCCUUCCCAGCUCCCCAGGUCCGCGAAGUGCUGACCAGAUGGAGGCCGCGCAUGCUCAGAGGCCUCCUUCGACCCCCG